CCGGGGCAUCCCGGAGGCAGGAAAGGCUUCGGCCGGACAGGGAUGGGCAUGCGGCGCAUUAGGCAGUAGGCGGGGUAACGGCCCACCUAACCGACGAUGCGUAGGGGUUCUGAGAGGAAGGUCCCCCACACUGGUACUGAGACACGGACCAGACUCCUACGGGAGGCAGCAGUGAGGAAUAUUGGUCAAUGGUCGGGAGACUGAACCAGCCAAGCCGCGUGAGGGAUGAAGGUACAGAGUAUCGUAAACCUCUUUUGUCAGGGAACAAAGGCGGGGACGUGUCCCCGGAUGAGUGUACCUGAAGAAAAAGCAUCGGCUAACUCCGUGCCAGCAGCCGCGGUAAUACGGAGGAUGCGAGCGUUAUCCGGAUUUAUUGGGUUUAAAGGGUGCGCAGGCGGUCUGUUAAGUCAGCGGUCAAAGCCCGGGGCUCAACCCCGGCCCGCCGUUGAAACUGGCAGUCUCGAGUUGGAGAGAAGUAUGCGGAAUGCGCGGUGUAGCGGUGAAAUGCAUAGAUAUCGCGCAGAACUCCAAUUGCGAAGGCAGCAUGCCGGCUCCACACUGACGCUGAGGCACGAAAGCGUGGGUAUCGAACAGGAUUAGAUACCCUGGUAGUCCACGCAGUAAACGAUGAAUGCUGGCUGUCCGGG
RNAcentral lists this ribosomal RNA (647 nucleotides) under uncultured bacterium. RNAcentral's name for it is "bacterial SSU rRNA". It matches the Rfam family "Bacterial small subunit ribosomal RNA", at positions 183 to 828 of the family's 1533-position model. The record is from RNAcentral.